UGUUCUGUGGCUUAGUUGGCUAAAGCGCCAGUCUAGCGAAUACGGAACCGUAAGUUCGAAUCUCACCAGAACGU
Molecule: non-coding RNA, 74 nt
Organism: Aedes albopictus (Asian tiger mosquito)
Lineage: Eukaryota; Metazoa; Arthropoda; Insecta; Diptera; Culicidae
Source: Rfam